CAGCCCCUCGAGUGGUGAGGAUGAUUAUUUGGCCUAAAGCGUCCGUAGCCGGCCGAGUAAGUCCCCCGUUAAAUCCAGCGUCUCAAGCGUUGGACUGCGGGAGAUACUACUUGGCUAGAGAGUGGGAGAGGUCAGCGGUAUUCUGGGGGUAGGGGCGAAAUCCUUUGAUCCCCGGAGGACCACCAGUGGCGAAGGCUGCUGACUAGAACACGUCUGACGGUCAGGGACGAAAGCUGGGGUAGCGAACCGGAUUAGAGACCCGAGUAGUCC
Molecule: ribosomal RNA, 270 nt
Filed under: uncultured archaeon
Lineage: Archaea
Description: partial 16S ribosomal RNA
Rfam family: Archaeal small subunit ribosomal RNA
Source: RNAcentral